GGAGUCCAGGGAGGAUAUUGUGGGGUUUUGAACGAGAUGCCCCCUAUAGUCUCAGGGUUUCAAAUGUUUGGUGUCCAGUUGGUAAUGCUGUUUGGGAAAUUUAGGAGGUCGAGAUAUGAGGUUUGAGAUGUGAGCAUUCAGCUGUUCCUGCCACCAUGUCUGAUUGCUACCAUGUUUACCCAGAGUGAUGGACUCUUAACCCUCUGAAACUGCAAAUGCAAAACAAACCUUUCCUUGUGUUUCAAUAAUACAAAGCCAGUUUCCAGUGUCUGGAGAUAGAGUUUCUCAGAAGCCAAGCAGAAACGUGGGAUCAAUCAAAUUCAUGAGGUUAAAUAAUGAAAACUGACGAAGCAGGCACCAGGAACUUUGGGGCAGUGACGUGGGAGAGAUGACUCCGUCUGUAAAGUACUUGCCAUACAAAAAUGAAGAGCUGUUUGUUCCCCUGUCUUAUGUAAAGGACACAGCAGAGGCCUGCAAUCCCAGCACUGCUGAAGCAAAGACAUGUGGACCCCCGGAGCUCAGCAUGUCCAAAUGGCUGAACUCCAAGUUCAAUGACAGACCAUGUCUCAAAAAGCGAGGUUAAGAGCAACUAAGAAAAGCGCCCGGUGUCAACCUCUAGCCCCUACAUGCUGUGCAUAAACAUACAUUCACAAACA
Molecule: long non-coding RNA, 656 nt
Organism: Mesocricetus auratus (golden hamster)
Lineage: Eukaryota; Metazoa; Chordata; Mammalia; Rodentia; Cricetidae
Exons: 3
Source: RefSeq, a predicted model, not a curated record